This 543-nucleotide ribosomal RNA is filed under the name uncultured bacterium. Its description in RNAcentral is "partial 16S ribosomal RNA". It matches the Rfam family "Bacterial small subunit ribosomal RNA", at positions 355 to 914 of the family's 1533-position model. The record is from RNAcentral.
UGGGGAAUCUUAGACAAUGGGGGAAACCCUGAUCUAGCCAUGCCGCGUGAGCGAUGAAGGCCUUAGGGUUGUAAAGCUCUUUCAGCUGGGAAGAUAAUGACGGUACCAGCAGAAGAAGCCCCGGCUAACUCCGUGCCAGCAGCCGCGGUAAUACGGAGGGGGCUAGCGUUGUUCGGAAUUACUGGGCGUAAAGCGCACGUAGGCGGAUUAGUCAGUCAGAGGUGAAAUCCCAGGGCUCAACCCUGGAACUGCCUUUGAUACUGCUAGUCUUGAGGUCGAGAGAGGUGAGUGGAAUUCCGAGUGUAGAGGUGAAAUUCGUAGAUAUUCGGAGGAACACCAGUGGCGAAGGCGGCUCACUGGCUCGAUACUGACGCUGAGGUGCGAAAGCGUGGGGAGCAAAACAGGAUUAGAUACCCUGGUAGUCCACGCCGUAAACGAUGAAUGCCAGUCGUCGGGUUGCAUGCAAUUCGGUGACACACCUAACGGAUUAAAGCAUUCCGCCUGGGGAGUACGGUCGCAAGAUUAAAACUCAAAUGAAUUGAC